CAGUAGCCACGGUAAGACAGAGGAUGCAAGCGUUAUCCGGAAUUAUUGGGCGUAAAGGGCUCGCAGGCGGUUUCUUAAGUCUGAUGUGAAAGCCCCCGGCUCAACCGGGGAGGGUCAUUGGAAACUGAGAAACUUGAGUGCAGAAGAGGAGAGUGGAAUUCCACGUGUAGCGGUGAAAUGCGUAGAGAUGUGGAGGAACACCAGUGGCGAAGGCGACUCUCUGGUCUGUAACUGACGCUGAGGAGCGAAAGCGUGGGGAGCGAACAGGAUUAGAUACCCCCGUAGUCCCUGUCUCUUAUAC
RNAcentral lists this ribosomal RNA (301 nucleotides) under uncultured bacterium. RNAcentral's name for it is "partial 16S ribosomal RNA". It matches the Rfam family "Bacterial small subunit ribosomal RNA", at positions 509 to 807 of the family's 1533-position model. The record is from RNAcentral.